Molecule: ribosomal RNA, 372 nt
Filed under: uncultured bacterium
Lineage: Bacteria
Description: bacterial SSU rRNA
Rfam family: Bacterial small subunit ribosomal RNA
Source: RNAcentral
UACGGAGGGUGCAAGCGUUAUCCGGAUUCACUGGGUUUAAAGGGUGUGUAGGCGGGCUGUUAAGUCAGUGGUGAAAUCUCCAGGCUCAACCUGGAAACUGCCGUUGAUACUAUCAGUCUUGAAUCCUGUUGAGGUGGGCGGAAUAUAUCAUGUAGCGGUGAAAUGCUUAGAUAUGAUAUAGAACACCGAUUGCGAAGGCAGCUCACUAAGCAGGCAUUGACGCUGAGGCACGAAAGCGUGGGGAUCAAACAGGAUUAGAUACCCUGGUAGUCCACGCCCUAAACGAUGAUUACUCGACAUACACGAUACACUGCGUGUGUCUGAGCGAAAGCAUUAAGUAAUCCACCUGGGAAGUACGUCCGCAAGGAUGAA